GGAGUGAGGCCUGGUAAGGCCUUGCCGGCCUUGGGAGAUGGAGGCUGCUGGUGAUCGUUCCAGAGUGACUUUCUGUUGUCCUAAGGAGAGUAGUUCAUUCUGGCCUACAGGACCUCACCAGAUGGAAGUAUCAUUGAGCACAUGCAUGGAACACGCUGUGGUAUUGAUUUUAAAAUCUCGUCUCAGGGCCAGGAAUUUUACAACUGAAAUCCUGAAAGACAACCUUCAAGAAAAAAACAUUUAAAUAGGAAGGAGAUGAGAGGAGAUGGACUGCAAAUGCCUGAGCUGUGAAGAAAGCUGAGCUCAUGCACUGCUGGAAAUGAGAGAAAAAGAAGCUUUAUAUUUGCACAACUCAAGAGUAAAACUUCAGCACCACUUUGCAACUGCUUAGACAUGAAAACCAAUCAGCUGCCCUUAGGAAGCAGGGUUCAUUAUACCCAGCUCUUAGAGAACAUUAAUUCUCUCUAUGUGGGAUUUACUGCCUCCACCUCUACUAAUGGAUAAAACAGGUCAAGUCUUUUUCUCUGUUCAAAAUGGACAACCUGCACAGAUCUCAUUCAUACAAUUAAAAUUUCUUCCCUCACAAGUUGUGCCUGAGCUCAUAUCAUGUAAUGGGACUACCUCGUGCUCAGGAACUUUUGGGAGUGUUGGAUUUUUUGCAUCAAAGUUGCAUCAGGAACCAUGUCAAUGACUUAACAGAAUAUGGUAGCAGCUGUGCUGUGUCCUUGGCCUGCAUACUGGUAUUUAAAUUAUACCACUGUGUCAUCCCAGCUUUAGUUAUCUAAACAUAAUUCUCACCUAUAUCAGUUCUAUCCCUUCUAUAUUAGAA
Molecule: long non-coding RNA, 829 nt
Organism: Chiroxiphia lanceolata (lance-tailed manakin)
Lineage: Eukaryota; Metazoa; Chordata; Aves; Passeriformes; Pipridae
Exons: 3
Source: RefSeq, a predicted model, not a curated record